CCGUUUCUAGAAGCUACCUUCGCAUUCACUAAUCUUCCACAUGGAACCAAGUUCUAAUUUAAUUUUGCAUGCAAUCACUCUCUCUUCUUUGUUCAUUGAGCCUUCACAAUUUCCUGAAGCUACUAAAUCCAGAAACCCAUAGCCUGUUAAAGAAAAAAAACGUUGUCUUCUUGAGAAAGAACGCCACUCAGGCCAGUUCUGCUUCUUCUGAUUUUGCAUGCAAUCGUUUGUACCUAUGUUCUAGGACUUUGAUUUGGUUGCUUCGACUGCUCUUUCCUGUGAGUUCUUUUUUUUUUUUUUUUAAAUAAAAAUAAAAAUUCUCCCCUCGAUUGGGUUGUUGGAAAAUGUCAGACAUGGAUAUAUCUGUAGUUAAGGAUUUAUUUUCAAACUUCUAAAUUCCUCAAUUUCACAUAUUUUUUCUGGCUUUGGACAAUAUAAUAUUCAUGUUAUUGACUUGGCACAAUAACAUGAUUAUGCAUCUAAGGUAUUUUAUUAUAUGCCUGAAAGAACUGAAGUGUUUUUGGACUCUUUCUUUUACAGGUCCUACAACAGAGCUCUCAUCAGGAAUCCAAAAGGUAUAUUUUUCACUUCUAAUGGACGAUAUUGGUAUGUGUAUGUGCAACAUUUAUGAUCACAUAUUCUACUUCCUUGCAUGUGUAUUUUCAUUGCACUAUUCCUUUACAUUAGAUAUAUAAAUUAUAGAGUACUCGUGAAAUCACUUUCUUAAGACUUUUUGAUAUGUUUGGAUCAAGCCAUUGUAAGUGAUUUCUGUGUCUCUGGCUUCGAAAGAGCACAUUGUUGUUGUUGAUUUCUGUGCCAAUAUGUGAUUCAUUUAGUUGGAACAUAACGGUCACAAUUUCACAGGUUUUUGGAAGUGAAAGUUGUUCAAGAUAGGAAGAAAAGUACAUUGCCUCGACUAUAAGAGAGGAUUAUUUGAAAGGAGAUGAAGAAAUUUAAAUCGUAACCAGAUUGUUGCUGCAGCAAGUAAUAGAGUCAAAAGGAAAAUACAAGCUCCGUGUAAUGUUCCUCCUUUUUAUAUUUCAGGUAGGCAAUUUUUCCUUUUUCCAAUGUCUAAAGAACUCUAUGUUUUGCAUGUGUCCCUUUUACUUUUGUUUUAUGCUGUUGAGUAGUAUUUGCAGUUUGUGUAAGUUCACAGUUAUGUAGUUUAUGAGCAAUAGUAGCCUGGUGAAAGACAUUUAGUCCUUAUAAUUUUUCCCUGUAAAAAUAUGAAAUAUAAGACCGUAACUCAAAGGCGGACCAGGAUUUGAGAAUAGUGGGGGUACUACUAUUCUGUGGCUACAAAAUGUCGGGAAAAACAUUUUGUGCGAAUACUAAAGCGGGGAAUCGACUUCUAGCACUGGUAAAUCAAACUUGAGUUGAUUAUGGGGCAAGGGAAGAUUAAUUCUUAUAGUGUUUCUCUUAUCUUUAACAGGCUGGAGAGGUCUCUCAAGCAUGUUAGUUUUGCAAUUUUGGACCUAAAGUGCACUUUUCCAUUCUAAUUUUCUGCAAAUACUUGAUAAUAUUGUGUAACACAUCAAACUUUCUCUUUAUUUAGCACCAAAGUCAUUUUAAUAAUUAGGCAAGAUAUCUUGCUUGGGUUCUUCCUGUAAUUGGCAGGUUCUAAUACCUUUCUCAAGGAGUUUAGAAGGAAAUUAAAGCAGAAGCUCAGUAUAACGCAUGCAGGUAAGUGAUCGAUCUUCCAAGUGAAGGCUCUGUCUCAUGGAAGAUGAGAGUAUUUGCAUCUCGUAAGUAACAAUACUGUUCUGAAGAUGCCCGAUAAUUGGCGACUCUUUGGUCUUGAAACUUUCUGUGAAAAACACAAGCAAUGGUGUUGAUGUGUUCAUAUGUAGCAGUUAGACGAGAUUUCAAUCAAUGAAGCCCGAUUUUGUGUUGGUGAAGGCCUUUUUGGGUUAGCUCUGUCAGAAGGCAAAUGUAGUCAUUCAAUUGAAGACGCGUCUAAGUAUGGACAUAAAAAUUUCAGUCCUUGUGUUGUAUCAUAUUAAAAUUGUUAAUGUUAAUUUGAAGGGAUAAAAACUAGAGCCUGC
Long non-coding RNA from Lycium ferocissimum, 2045 nucleotides. RefSeq lists it as uncharacterized. Lineage: Eukaryota; Viridiplantae; Streptophyta; Magnoliopsida; Solanales; Solanaceae. The transcript has 3 exons. The record is from RefSeq and is a predicted model, not a curated record.